CCUUUGUCUUUUGGCUCUUGUCGGGCGAUCAUACGUACUUGGGCUCCGAUCCUCCCCUCUGUUGGUGCUUGUGUCUUCCCUGCUUUUUGGUGUGUGCGUGCGUGUGUGCGUUUGAGAGGGAAGGGGGGCAUUGCGCCGUCCACCAUGCCGGCUUCUGUGUCUUCGCCGCUGCGUCCCUCUCACUCCCACGCGCGCGUUGUACAACGACGGUGAGGCAAGGAGGACUUUGGUCACGCCAUCAGCCCAGAUCUCUCUUAAGCUGCUUUCGUUUUGUGCAUAUUUCUCACAAGGAGGCAAAAAAAAACAAGUUGCACUGACACGUGUGUGCCGACAUACACGGGCAGGCACGGGCACAGGAUGCGCACACGUGCUCAGCGAUGCCUUCAUGCCGCUCUGCAAAGUCCCUGGCCUGCAUCCACGCGCGCCGCGCGUGGAACGCAACGCCGCGGCUUUUUGGGCACACUCAUCGCCGAUGACUCCGCGGUCUCGGGGAUAACAACGUCCAACGUGUUGCCACAGGGCUCGUCUGCCACGGAUGACCCCGCGCUGAGUGAGGCGGACUCCUCGUACACGCACCCCCUCGAGGUGAGCGGCACAUCCUUCAAGCUGUACGGAGAGUCCACCACAUACGCCAAGGAGGACGCUGGCCACAUCUUCGCCUCCGCCAAAGUGCUCAGCUACAACCCCGCCAUCCUCUUCAACGACCUGCAACUACAAGAAGGGCACCAGGGGCUGCUCAACCCCACCGGCGGCCUCGGCGCUGGCCGAUCAGGGGAUUCACCGCUGGCAGCCAAUGACCCGGAGAUGGCAACGCGAGCGGCCGAGGAGGAAGAGAGCGACGCCGUCAUGCGCUCUGGACGCAACAAGCAAGGCGCCGCGGGUGCGGCAGCGAUGGCUGCGGCGAUGCUCGACUCGCGCCGCGCGGCUGAAGGCAUAGCCAUGGUACCAGGCCACCCGCUUCCGGUCGUCUUCCCACGAUCCGACGGGCUGUCGCCGGCUCCGCGCGUCAAGAAGCUCGGCUUCGGAGGUUUGAACGAGACACACGCUGGAAAGCAGGCACGCCAGACGAGGCAGAGCAACGAAGAGGAUGUUGAUGCGAUCAUGUGCGGUGAGGUCAUGGAGAGCGAGAGGCGCGUCGAGUCGCACAGCCUGCAGCACAGCAUCACAUGGCGGGUCCAGGUGCUUGAUGAGCACUGCAAGCCCAUUCCCAUAAAGCACUUUCAGCAUUUCCGCGAGGCGAUGGAUGUGCUGCCGGCGCGUGUAAUGCAGGGGCUGAGUGAAUCGGGGCUCACGCGCCCGACGCUCUUCCAGUCGGCCGCCAUUCCGCAGCUGAUGCGCGGGCGCGAUGUCGUCGGCAUCGCUCCCGAUGGCAGCGGAACGACAGUCGCUUACGCCGUGCUUUCCAUGGCCGUGCUCGUGAAGGUCAAGGCCGCCGAGGAGCAGAAGCGGCUGGCAAAGGUGGUGGAGGAGGGCACCAGCUCGGCGCCACUGCCGCCAGAGCUGUCUGAGGCGCCGUCAUCAUCGUCCGGCGACGUCGUGGCGCGCCCGAUUGUGGUUGUCCUGUGCACCAACCGCCAAACGGUGCUGCGGACGGCCGCGAUGUACAGCAGCCUCUCUGCAGAAGACGUUCGACUCGUUGCAGCGUAUCAGUCGGUGGACGGUGACGAUGAAGAAGGCCAGCGGAGCGUCAUUCGACGGAAGAAGGGCUGCGACGUAAUUGUGGCCACACCAGCUCGCUUGACGGCGCUGGUGCGCGAGGGCCAUGUCACUCUGAGUCGCGUGCACGUACUGGUGGUGGACAGGGCGAACCAUCUCUUGGCGGCGGACCCCAGCCGGAAUGGCCGCACAGCGUUGCCGCAUGUCGAGGACAUAAUGCACGCUGUGAAGGUGAACGGCGUUGCGCAUCAGUUUUCUCUGUGGUGCACAGAGCUGGAGCCGUCCAUCGAGUCCCUCGUGCGCAAGUACAUGUCACCGCUGACGGUGACGGUGAUGGCGACGCGCGAGGAGCACACAAACGUGAAUGUGCGCCAGAUCCUGUACCCACUGCCAAGCCGCGAUGACCGUAUCAAAGCCAUCCAGCAGCUGUACGACCAGGGCACCAUCUUGAAGCGCGACCAGGUGUUGGUGUACUGCGCCUAUCGAGAGACCGCAGAGGAGGUGAGGAGGGAGCUGAUCAAGGCGCUGUCUGCCCCGUCAUCUAUGGUUCAGUGUGUGCACAGCGGCCUGUGCUCUCGCAAGCGCAACGAACUCCUCAAGGCCUUCCAGCACGGCGACAUACGCAUUUUGGUUGUCACGGACGUGGCGACGAAGCGACUCGAUGCCGAGGAGCUGGGGCACGUGAUCCACUACGACCUGCCUGCCUUCACCGAGGUGUACAUGCAGCGCGUUAGCCAGGUGGACCGCUCCGGCCGGCAAGGGACGUCGCACACCUUCCUCACCCCAGGCGACACCCGCGUGCCGCCAAUUGCCAGAUUUGUGGAGAAGCAGACGGACCACGCCCUCAACGAUGAAAUUCGCAAGAUGAUCGCUGACAUUGAGGCCGCGGACAGCGAGGACAGCUGGGUCAUCCCGGUGCUGCGCAUGCAUGGCCACGCCUUGUCGAACACGAAAUGGCGGGUGCGCGGACGGCGGGAGAUACGGCAGCAGGUGGAGACUCUCUCUGGUCUGGUAUCGGAGUCGGACCAGAAGCCUGUGGGCUAGGCACAGAAGGUGGCCGACGGGACAACAUCACUGCUGAUAAUGACGUGUCGGCGCAAACCUACCACACGUGACUUGGGGGCGAAAGAGGUACACGCGGAGUGCUUUGGCCCCUCCCCCUCCCUCCUCGUCCUCUUCUGCUCGAGAAAAACGAGCGCGGCACAGGGCUGCAGAACUAGCGAGGGAUGAAAAGCAGAGGAGGUAUCCGCUCUGCAGCGAUGGAGGUGGAAGGGGUCGACACCGGGGCACCACUGCUGCUGCUGCCGCGACUGCGGCAAUCCGGUUGGCGCUCUGCUCUUCCCCUUACUUUGCAGCUCGUUUUGGAGUGCUCUGUCGGUAUGCGUUGUGCCCCAUCGUUAUCUUACUGCUUCACGGAUGUGAUUUCUCGGAUUUCUUGUCAUCGUAGAAAGCCGUGUGCUUUUAUGAUC
RNAcentral lists this unclassified non-coding RNA (3125 nucleotides) under Leishmania donovani. RNAcentral's name for it is "gene:LdHU3.10.0200(CDS-product:DEAD/DEAH_box_heli case_putative)". The record is from RNAcentral. Lineage: Eukaryota; Euglenozoa; Kinetoplastea; Trypanosomatida; Trypanosomatidae.